ACUACGCAUCCCAUCGAGCAGUUCGCGCAUUGCCAUGACAGCAGCAGGACGCUAUGGCGGUUAGCUAGCGACAGUAAUAAUUAAUAUUAAUAAUGAACUAAUGGACAACAGGAUGCGAGGGGUUGCGGGGACUCCGUCUGCUUCUGUCGCUAACGAUGCCGAGCAGGGGGUCGAGGGCUGGGCCGUGAAUCGACAGGGCCUCGUUGGCCAAGCGAGGGAAAUCCAGGUGACCGGGGCGGCAGAGGUUUGUUGCCCGGCCGACAGAGCGACGGUGCGGUUCAUGGUGGGCAACAGCAAGGCGUCUGUGAGCGAUGUCACCAGUCGUGUGUCAAAGCGGGUGGAGUACAUUUUACAGGCUGCCAGACAACAUGGAGUGAGAGAAGAAGACGUCACCGUGAGGAAAUUUCUCCACCGGGAUGAAGAACUGUAUCACAUGAACUCAGAGGUGACGGUGACCUUCUCGGACUUUGAGAAGAUGGAGCAAGUGUGCAUCAUCCUGUUGGAGAAACUGGACAAGAGUGUCUCCGUGGGAAUGCCUCGGUUUUUCCACAGCGCGGAAUGCCUAAAUCGCAUCAGGCAGAGUGUAUGCGUGUCAGCAGUGGACAACGCCCAGCAGAAGGCCAGCAGAGUCAGCCAGCUGCUGGGACAAAGUCUGGGAGCACCCACCCUGAUCCGAGAGAUGGACACGCGGGAAUGGAGGGGCAAGGACGAGGACGGUGCCCAGUGGGGUGAAGACACCUCCCAUGCUGCUGCUGCCCUUCUUCCUCGAAUACCCACCAUCACUGCCACCUCACUGGUGUCCGUUUACUUCCGGCUGCGGGAAGGAAGCAGGAAGAAACUCUAAAAUGUUGGGGGGUAAAAGGCUUGCAACAAAUACACUCCUGAUCAAAAUUCAUAAGCAUUUGGAAAAAUGUGAAGAAUGUACAUUUUGCACUGUUGGGUCGUAAGCAGGUUCUAUGUCGAGCAUCAAAAUGCAAAAAGAAGAAAUGGGAGUGAGACAAAAAAGCAAUUUAUUGUGAAGAAGCAUUAAAGUGAAAUAGGCUGUUCAUCAGCUGAUCAAAAGUUUAAGAGUAUAGCUUAAAAAAAGCCUGAAAUCCCCCAAAAUAGAAAUCAAAUGUAGAAAAAAGGAGUGAGUAAUGAGUAGCUGUGCCAUUCUUGUUCAUGAGGUGAAAAAUGGCUGUGGGCAUGCUUGAUGCCAGUGUUUCCAGGAGGCUAGUGGGAAUGUUGCUCCAGGUGGUGAAGAUGGCUUCAUGGAGGGUAUCCACUGUCUGGAACUGAUGUCCGUUUGUAUAAAUCCAUCCCCAAAUGUUCUCCAUUGGAUUUAGAUGAGGGGAACACGCAGGAUGGUCCAAAAGAGUGAGCUGAGUCCUCUGGAAGAAGUCCUUUGUGAAGUGCAGCGUUGUCCUGUAGAAGAAGUCAUUACCACACAGACGAGGACCUUCAGUCAUGAGGGAUGCCCCCUGCAACAUCUCCACAUAGCCAUCUGCCGUUUGACGCCCCUGCACAACCUGAAGCUCCAUUGUUCCAUUGACGGAUCAUGAUGGCGCCCCUCCACUGUGCCGUGUGGAAAACAUCUCAGGUGGGAUCUCCUUGUCAUGCAGUAACGUUGGAAGCCAUCAGGACCAUCAAGGCAGAAUAAAACUUUCUUCCACCUUUCAAUGUCCCAUGUUUGGUGCUCUCCUGCAAAUUCCAAACCCUGAAGCAGACGAGGCCUUUGAAGACGUUUUUUCUUCUUAAAAGCCUUCUCUGGCAGAUGGCGUCUGAUGGUUAUUGGCCUGCACUCGGCACCAGUAACAACCUUCAUUUGGGCCGAGGAUGGUCCCGUGUCUUGACAGACAGCCAAUGGGAUCCUGCGGCUCAUUUUUUUGGGUCUACCACUUGACUUGACUUUUCAGGAUGUUUGAAGAAGUUUGAAAUGACUCUUACUGUGUCCGACCGCAGCAGCAAUGGCGAAGAGAAAAAGCUUUUUUGCCUUUGCCAUCAAGAGAUCAUGACGGUGUGAAUACCUGACACUAAAUCACAUUCAGUCCUUAUUUUUAACAACAUUUUGCCUUUUAAAGGCUAUGCUCUUAAACUUUUGAUGAGCUGAUGAACAGCCUAUUUCACUUUAAUGCUUCUUCACAAUAAAUUGCUUUUUUGUCUCACUCUCAUUUCUUCUUUUUGCAUUUUGAAAGGCUACACUGUUUUUGGGAUCUUUAUGUGAGACAUGAACACACGUCUCUCUUUUCUGUGCGUUGUAAAGAUAUAAAAAGGCAGCUAACGCACGUAAUGGGACACACCUAUUCUGCCUAUAAAGCCUUCUGAAAAAAAACAACGCACCAUUUCCAUAAAGUGACCUGCAUAUUAGCAAAGCUACAGCGACAUUGUUAUUGUUGUUGUUAACAUUAUUACGCCCAAGAACUAAGUUUCUGGCGUAGUGACACCUCGCCACAUCACACCGACUAGCUGCCGCCACUGCUGCUGUGUUUUUGAGUUUGGAAAAGUUAAGCUAGGUGUAGCAUUCCUUUCUAUGUUGCUAUGUGAAAUCAAUGCACCCAGGAAGGAAGUUCCGCUAAUGUUUCAAAUGAACAAAAUAGUGUAAGUAUUCCAUUUUAUCAUGAAUGUACCUGCUACUACACGCUCACAACGUGGAUAGAAAACCAUAAAACCUUGUUGGAGCUUUUUGGAGGUGUUUUAAUAGCAGCCAUUUUAGGUGGAAUAGGUGUGUCCCAUUACCUGCCUCGUUUUAGCUGUUUUUAUAUCUUUAGAACACACACAAACGAGAAAGACGUGUGUUCAUGUCUCACAUAAGGAUUGUGGAUGAUGGGCUAAAUUCCCAAAGAAGUGAACUUUUCCUUUAAGAUCCAACAGUGCAAAAUGUACAUUCUUGACAUUUUUCAACUACUCUUAUGAAGUGUUUUUUUGUUUUGUUUUAAGGUAGGGGUCAGCAACCUUUAGCAUCAAAAGAGCCAUUUUGCCUCCUCUUCCAGUAAAGAAAAAUGGUCUGGCGCCGCAAAACAUGGCAGCUUAUAAACAUUUUAAAAGUUUUAAUCUUUGUCAGAUGUUACCUUUUAGAGCAACAGAAGUGCAGAGUGCACGUGUAGGCCUACUUUGAAAUCAUUUCAACACUCAACUAUGUAGGCUUUCUUGAGUCAUUCCUGUGUUUGUGUCAAAUGAAAAGGAAAUGUAGCCAAGUUGAACAUAAAAAAGCCCGUGAGAGUUGAGUGCAUAUCAGUACGUCUGCUCAUCAUCAUUUCCAUCACUUGACUCAUCACAGGCAAUUCAAUAUGCUGGCACUGAAUUCAUGGCAUCAAUUUGCCUCCUGGUGAUGUUUACCAUUCUACUGGUCCUGUUCUUCUUUAUUUAUUUAUUGGGGCAAUAGAUGCUGUGAUAUUUUUCUAUUCUUCCGUGUUCGGUGCUCAGAAGCCACAAAAAGAAGCCUGAAGCCCUGCAUGCAAAUUCGGAGCCGCGGGUCGUCGACCAUUGAUUUAAGGUAAGAUUAAAAAUUUUAAAUGCAUCAUUUAUUUGCACUCACACAUUCAUAGUUAUACAUACAGCCUGUCUUUGGAUGUUAUUGUUUCUUGGCACAUUUUGGUUGAAAAUAGCAAAACACAGCACUUUGCAAAAUGACUGGGCCACCAUGAGAUUAAUAGCAAUUCUAUCAUGAUCGUUUCCAAUGAUUUCUCACAAAAACCAAAAGCAGGUAGCGUCUUUGAGGUGAAGUACAACAUGUAUUUAGCCUGCUUACAUGUGGGCAAAAGCAGAAACGAUUGAUAUUUUCAAAUACAAAUUAGUUGCACAGCUUCAAAGUAUUAACUCUUUAGCUUUUGUGCUUUUAGUUGUUCUUGAGCAAAAGAGCUGUUUCACUAUAAAUACCAGUUUAAUUCAUUUUACUUAAAGCAUUGCGGUCAAAAAUGGUUUGAUGACCACAGUUUGACCCUGGAACAGAUUGUUUCCAUUAUGUAACCAUUUGACUUUAUGUGUUCAGCCUCACAGGUUUACUAGUACUAGUAGUAAUAGGUAGUAGUGACCCAGUACUGUACUGUAAAAUACAUCAAGCUCGCUGGUGCUUAGACGGGGAGUCGUGAGUGGACCCAUCCCAUCACAAGUUGGCUCAGGCAUCCUCCGUUUCGUCCUCGGGGAAGAUCUUUCUGAGCCAAGGCAGCGGGACGAAGCGCUCGCCGUCGAAAUGUGAAAAGUACUUCUCCAAGGUGGGAAUGUCCGGCUAAAAACAUCCCAGAGUGAAUCCACGGCACAGCUGAAGAUGUGUUGCCAUGUUUAUCCUGCUUCGUACCUGCGUCCCUCGGAUGCGCUUGAGUUGCGUUUGAGGCAGGUAGGCCACAAACAGAGACGCCGGUCUGGGCCCGCCGAACAGAACCUUGUAGUGUGGCGUCUUCUCUGCUGCGUGGGCCUGAAAGGGCGAUCACAGUGACCGUGGGGGUCAUUUAUUCACAUGACUGGAAAGGACGUUUAUGGCGCCCCCUAUGGCUUGUUGUCAGAAAGACCUGCUAGCAUUUACAGUGGUGUGAAAGUGUUUGCCGCCUUCCUGAUGUAUUUCUUUUGAUGUUUGUCACACUUGAAUGUUUCCAAUCAUCCAACAAAUGUAAAUAUUAGUCAGCGGCAACACAACUGAACACAAAAUGCAGUUUCGAAAUGAAACUUUUUAUGAUUAAGGGAGGAAAAAAAUCCAAACCUACAUGACCCUGUGCGAAAAAGUGAUUGCCGUGUUUGUUUGUUUCUUUUACUAAUCUUGCUCAAAUUUUAUGCACGUGUGCUUGUCAGUCCCCGAAAUGUGCACCAAAUUUGGUGGCGGUUGGGCGAAACACCCUAAAGUCACAGCAGGUGUUUUUGUGUGAGAAAAUUUCAAGUCAAUCCCAUUUAUGGUGUUUAAUAACAGCGCCACCAUGUGGUGUGUUUGUCAGAGAAAUUAGUGCCCACACUGUGCCGAAUUAGUAAAUAGUUCCAUCCAGACAGGAACGAUCAGUGAGUGAAAAGGAUGUAAUACGCAAGGCACACCUACGUGUGGCGCUGUAAACACAGACGGAACCACGUGACACAGCAAACUAUAGCAGAAGUCCGUCAUCUUCCGCUUUCCAAGGCUCACCUGCACACUUACGAGAAGUGGAAUUACUGCAACAAGUGUGGACUGGGGGGAGUCACGUCCGUCCAAAUAUCCACAUAUUAUGUUGGCUGGUCGUUAGGUGUCACGAUAAUCACUAAAGCCAUGAAUCCAACGACAAAAACAACAGGUUGAUAAUUAUGACACCCUGGAUAAAUUGACGUGCAUGUGCGUCUGCUCGUCUCUCUGCGCCACACAGGCUGGACGACGAAGAGGGUUCACUCUGCAUCUGUUUGUGCGCAUCGGUUCUAUAGUGGAAUGAACGGAGAGAGUGAGCCCUCAUCUCAUUCAGCCUCUUUGUGGAGGCGGGGCGUUUUCAGAUUUCCCCACUCUGGAAGCCGUUUUUAAAAAAUAGCGUUUCAGAGCAUCCAGAAGGCCGUUUCCUUGUGGCUGAAAGGCUGAAACCAUAAAAUAGUUGACCCUUUUGACCUGAAAAGGUUUCCGUGUGGGCAGCCCCACAGAGUGUUAGCUCCUGAGGCUACACGCCAGCAGAUUACAAUCAUGAAGCGUUCACACGGAAGAAUCAUUGUAUGCCUGAUAUUUGUCUGCACACGUGAUCUAUGCAUAGCUAGCAUUCGCCACCCCGCAAAUUUUUGAUCAAAAAUUUGUCGGCAAAUUCGCCCGAUUUACAAAAAAUUAUUUUUUUUUUUCAGAAAACCCAUUUCAUUCACCCUACAUCUGCAAUCAUUUACAAAUAUGUGAUAAUGAAGCAUAACAUGUCAGAAUAACCGGAUUAUAAACAAAUACGUAUAUGACAUAAACACACAAUAACAUACUGUGGCAAGCUUGAGUCAGACAGCCAACGCAGCAUAAACGAACAAAAAGGUCAUCGACUCCAACCACUACGUCAUCACCGUGCAAUCAACACAAGUGUGUGUGUGCGGCAUAUUUCAGCUUCUGUGCAUUUAGCUUGUUAGCUUCCGAGCAAACAAUGGCACAAUUACAGACGGGGAAGGUUGCUCAAUGAAAAUGAAUAAGACGUUGGAAUGUAUCGAGAUGCACGUGUACACUAACAAACUUUGAAAGUGUUUUUUAGUCAGGUGAGGUGCAGGCGGGUACUGACCUCCACAUCGCUGUACAUCCUGUCAACCCACUCGGCGGGGGCCCGCAUCUCAGAGUCCCAGCUGACCACCACCCCAACCCGGUGCCCCUUCCUCUCUAUCACCACCUCGCCCACCCGCAGGAAGACGUAGGGCGGCCGCGGACUGCGCACGGCCUUGGAGGCUGCGGCGGCAAAUGAAUGAAAAGUUAACUUUACGGUCUUUGUGGCGGCUGCGCCUAAUAUUUUGGCCUGAAGGAUCAUCGCUGUGGGGGUACGCUAACCUCCAAAGAAUCCCUGAUUGUUGUCACGCAGCAUGGUUUCCAUGGCAACCAUCUUCUUGGCCACUUCGUCUUCCGUCUGGAGACCGAGGAAGGACCUUCACAGGAGCACAAAUGGCGGUGUGUUCGGGUGCUGCGGGGAAACAGCACGUCGGAAGCUGGAGGAGGCGUCAGAUGGAGGAGACUCACCACACUUUGGACACCUGCCGCUCUCCCCACUCUGUCCACGCACUUGCAUUGAGGUACGACUUCCUCCACUCGUUCCACACUCGAAGAAACCUGAAAUGAUCGCUUUUGUCACGUCUAGCGCUACAAAGACGGAUUUUGUCCACGUGUCUAACAAUGGCAAUGGUUGCCUUGGUUGCACUUCAACUAGUGUAUUUGUCCUGCACAUAAAAGGGGGCAUUUGACGUCACAUUAUUCUACUUCCGCUCAAAAAUGUAGCCAUCCCGCCUGGUGUAUUGUACAAAAAAUGAGGAAGUUAUUUUUAUGGAGCGUUAUGAUGAGUUCCCAAACGAUUAUGACUGCCAAAAACAACGCUGUCGCCGCCAAUAGAGCGAGGAAGGACUGCUGGAAAAUUAAGUAUAACUACAGUGGACCUUUCCCGCCCCACGCGUAGACCCUGCAGUACUACCGUGUGGACGUGUGGAGGCGCUGCGACGCCGUAGAGCCGCUCCAGCGGGAGAUGAAGUACUGGGCGGGCAAGGCGGACAGCAGCAGCGCCAACUGGAGAGCCGCGGUGGCCGUCAGCUGAGGCAUCACCUGCGGGCACACACCGUGGGUAAUAAAAUCUCCAUGCGCCAAGCUUGGGCAUGGCAAACACAACUUUAAGGAAACAAAUUAACUCGUGUGUGGAAGUUUAGUCCUUACCUUGUUUUGGAUAAAAUUCUACUCUGUUGUCCGACUAAAACAUGGCUGAUUAAGCAGUGUGUGUGCGUGUGGUUUAUUGAUAAACCAACGCCGCUGCCACCUGUCUGUUGACAUGCCACAGCUGGGCGAGAGAUGAAAAGGCAUUAGGCUGCGUUUCGUCCAAUCAGGGAAGCCCACGGAGGAACCAGGCGACCUCUCGUGACGCGCCACGUCAGAAUUAAAACAAGCCUCCUCGAGGAAGCAGUGUAGUGACACGUCCUCGUCACCAGAUGGGGCUGUUGCUAAGACACAACGAUCCUUUUAUUAUUCGUAGCUUUAUUUUAUUGAAUUAAAAAUAUGUAGUUAAAGUAAAUUAAACUUUGCUUGUUUUUACAUAUGUGGAUGGCUCUGGAGAACUGCGUACGGACUUCCAUUUCAUUCAUCAUGCUGUAUUGAAAAUAAGUCAAUCCAAGUCUAAAACAUCACCCAACUAACUCUCUUAGCUUUUAAACACCAUAAAAGAAAUGUAUCUUCUGCAAAUAUAAAUAAAAUUGAGUUGUAAUUUCAUCCACAUUGCACAUUUGGAAGCAGUUUCCCAAAUGUAGCGUGUAAAGACACCAUUUAACUGAACAUGAAGGCACGCAUGUCUGUGCAGCGUCAACUACAUUAUUGAAAAGGUGCAUUUGGUUUUAUUAUGCAGCACUUACCUUCUCUUUACACUCGUGCAAGUGUGAGGAGUUUGUAAAACGUGUGACGCAAAGUCAACUUCUCCCGAAACCAAGCAAAACUCUGCUGUCGUUUUAAAGCAGGUUGGAUCCAGAUCUGAUCCAGAUUGCACAAUUGGCAGCAAUUUCACAAAUGCAACAAGCAGGAGCAAAUUUCACUCGACAUUAAAAGACACUUGAGUCUUGGUGUUGCAUCUUUUUACAGUUCCUUCCCUCCGGGAUUAAACUUGAGCAGCUUUCAAUGACAGACGACAAAAUUAGAACAUCAAGUGUAUACAGAAACACAAGUGUUUAUUCCUUCGAAAUAUUGGUAUGAACUAACAGGACAGCAGUACUUUGCCUACACGUGUAUGUACGUACAUUCUACCUGGUAGGCUUCCUUUCAUCUUCUCUUCAUACUGUGUAUAUAUAUUGUACAUUUAUAAAAAAGUAUCCAAACUAACAAUUAAGUUCUCUUUAAAAUGUGGAAAACAGAAAGGCCCCCCUACCUUCACAACGCCACCCCACUCUUAGAACUGGAAAUGCUAACGCACGCACGCGCUCGCGCUCACACACACCCACCCACACACACACAC
Molecule: RNA transcript, 8567 nt
Organism: Dunckerocampus dactyliophorus (ringed pipefish)
Lineage: Eukaryota; Metazoa; Chordata; Actinopteri; Syngnathiformes; Syngnathidae
Gene: irak1bp1
Gene name: interleukin-1 receptor-associated kinase 1 binding protein 1
Exons: 5
Source: RefSeq, a predicted model, not a curated record